AUUGAUUUCCUUUCCUCGCCUUCUGAUGCAUUCCUUUCUCUCUAUAGCUUAGUAUAGCACUUUUUAAUAUAAUAUCAUAAUAUAAUAAACCAGCCUCCUAAGAAACAUGGAGCCAGAUUCAUGUCUUUCCUUGUCCUGGGACCCACAAACACAUUGACAGUGAGGCAGCUGUGCCCUGCAGCCUGUGAAGGUUCCACUGUACAGCAGAGAUCCACCUGCAGCCCAUGGAGGGACCCACACCAGAGCAGGACUCGGGGCACCAGGAGAAGCUGGGCACCUUGAUGGCUGCUGGAAGCACUCAACUCCAGAUGAGCACAACAUGAGCACAGCACACCAUGGUGUCUGCCAUGAGAUCCUGAUUCUCAGGGGUCUGGAUUUUGUGACAGGAGCUGUCUCUUAGCCUGUGGUAACUUGGGAAUUCAAAGAGAGAUGGAAACUGGAAACAGCUGCGACUCCCAGAGAGCUCUGAAGGAUUAUGGCCUAUAAAAUGACAACAAUAGCAGAACUUUUUCAGCUGAUAUUGGUGAAUUUGCAGCAGGCAUCAGCAGUAGCAUUUCACCAGAGAUGAAAGUGGCUUAAUAAACUGUGUUUGUGUCAGUGCUGCAUGAUGCAUGUGUACAGCACUGCCACCCAGAGAAAAACAGGCAGCUUGGGAACUGGUGACUCAGAAAGCAGAAUUAUGGUUAUGCUGAAGGAGCAGGACUACAUUCUUCAAACACAGGUUAUACAUCCCCAGUUAUUUAUAAGUUUAAGUUCAAUUAGCUGAUGAUUGUUAAAAUGUCACUUCUUGGAGUUAUGGUUUGUUGAUAUAAUUAUCAAGUAACAACAUGCCUUGUUCUCUUUUUUAAUUAUGUAGCCAAUAUUCUGCUAAAUAGGAUGAAGCAAAAGUAUAGACAUACAGUUCAAGAAUAGAUACAAUCAGACAAAAAGUAUUAUGCUGAGCCCCAAAAUUGUUAAUACUUUUUCUGGCAGGAGCAAAAUAUGAAUGAUGUUCAAAAUAAUUAAAAUUGUUCAGGAUUAUCCUUAUGGAUAAGUUGAAGAGAUGAAGAUUUAAGGCUUAGAGAUGACAUGCACAAAAGGGAUGCUGAGACAGUUCUGCACACAAAUAAUGAUAAAAGGUAAAUCUGAUGUGUCCAUUUACUCUGUCUGGAAAUCCAAUAGUAUCUAGAUUUGUAGAAUAGCGAGGUGUGUGAAAACAGAAGCUGUAGAAAUAGAACUAGUUUGCUAUAUAGUUCUGAACAGGAGAGAAGAACAUAAAUUGGUCUGUGUUAUUCUUGUAGAAAAAAAGGAAUUUAAUCAGAAUCAUCAAGAACAAAUCUAUCUCUACCUAAGGAAAAAAACAAAAAGAACAGCACACUGCUAGUCUAGCUAGCUUAAAAUGGAACAAUAAGCUCUUUUGUUUCAGGACAAAAGUCAGUCAUAAGCAAAGUUAAGCUAGCAGCUGUUCUCUAGGGAGCCUCCUGUACUCUGGUCCAACAUUUGCCAUUCUCAGUGAGAUAUUAUCAGAUUAGAUAUGCCCAUAUCUAGGAGUUGGAUGUGCCAAAUUGAAUGAGCUGGUAUGUCCCUACAACAUAAGACCUGUUCCCUCAUUAAAAAAAAAAAAGAAAUAAACAAAAUAAUUUAGCACAAUCAGCUCAUAAUCAUGCAGUUUUCAAAGUGUCCAUUAAAAAUAAUGAAUAGAAGCAGUCAGGGAAAAAAUGGAACCAGGAUGGAUGUGCUAAGCCUGAGGGUUUGAGGGCAGUAUAUCAAACAUGACUUGACUCUUUUCAUUCAAUACAACAUGAUUGUUAAUGAGGAACAAUCAAUAAAUGUUCUUCAAAUAAAACACCAGAGAGCUGCACAUGAGAUAAGCAAACAACAGGAAUUUGCCAAGAGGGGAUGCACCUUCCUUUGUUAUUACAAUAACCAUUGCUAAUGCCUUGAUUGAGACCCAGGGGAUGCCUGUAAACAUUGCUUCCUCGUUCGUUGCAUAUAUUAGUCCUAAAUCCUGUUCUAGGCAUUCCUAUCUAAAGGAGAUCCAAAAUACUUUAACAUCAAAUGUUUCAGUGAAAACAAGGAUCAGGGUGGAUUUUCAGUGUAAGUAAAAAAUCAAAAUCCAAUCGAUUACCUGUCUAUCCCAUAAUUAUAGAGAGAUGAUAGAAACUUCAAACUGAAAGAUGUCUCCAUUUUGUUAAACAGCUUCAUUUCAAAUCCAUAUGGAAAAAUAUGAGGUUAUGUUGCAUUGUCUUCAAUUUUUUUUUGUGGACUGCAAUUUUUAUUUAUUAGAACAACUUAAGCUUGAAAACUUACAUCUUGACUCAGAAGUAAGCUCUCAUUCAUUAAAAUAUGUAAGAACUAUAUACAUACUUCUAGACAGACAGAUAUAAUCCUUUUCUGUGCUUCUGUAUUCAGGGACGUUUAAGUGAAAGUCUGCAGAUAAAUCUCCAGCUAAAAAUUAAAUGACUUUACCAGCUGUCCACAGCAGGAACAGUCUGUAACUCGUCUAUUAUCUCAUCUGGUCUCACCAGCUAAGUAUGGUUUAGCCUAGUGAAUUCUAAGAUGACAGACCUGUAAAAAACCAUAGGUUUUGGGUACUGCUGCCAGUUUAUUUGUUAUUCAUAGGUGGCAUACUUCCCUCUCUGUCACUUCAGUGUGAUUUCUAGAUGCUACUAAGGAGAUUUUUUUUUCAGAUUAAAUAAAAAGCAGGAGAAUAAAUAUGAUUUGAAAGGGCAAGACAAGGAUUUUCUUUCAGUUUCCAUCAGCAGUUAUAAUAAACAAUAUAUCUUUGUUUGAAGUUCAGGAUUUUUUGUCUUCAUAUCUACUUGUGUUUUAAGUCCCUCCAGAUGGGGGAACUGUCACGACAGACAACUACAAUUUUUGAGCUUUUGGAUUGUUCUGAAACACAGAAAACUCUGUUGGAAGGGCCUACCAACUAUUGGGUGAAUACUAUAUUUUUUGAGAGGUUCUGGAUGGGAAGAUCAAGACAAAAAAAACUACUUGUUCUUCUUUGUAAUGUAGGCUGGCAAUCUAAAAUUUUCAACAUGAACAUACUCCCAGGAACUACAUAGAAGAUCAGUCUAUAAACUCUUCCAGUGCCUCAGACUGUACAGAAUGUUAGGAAAAGCAUUCAACAUUCAUAAACUGAUGUAACUCAGCUGGGUUUUUCCCCCUCCUUGAUGCUAUGUAAGUUGGACCGCUCAGCAGCACCCAAAAAUAUCAAACUGGUGCACAAACAGUACCACAGCCCUUACCCAUGUGAUUUCUGGGCUUUUGGGACUCAGCAUGCAGAGCUGGGCUGUGCUCAGCUGGGCUCCAAGUGCUCCAGCACUGGGGUUUUUUAGGACAGCAGACCGUGCUGCUUUUGUUUUAAUGCUGAUUAGCACCACGCCAUCAUUUUUUUAUGUACAGAGCUGCACCUGCAUCGUUUCAAUGACGUACUGCCUGCAUUAUUUCACAGGUAGGGGCAGCCAAGCAGGUCCUGUCAAUGCAAUGGUGACUGGUCCCAUUGAGCUCUUGCCGUGUUGGGCACCAUCCUCUUCCUGCCUAGGUGGAAGGCACUAAGCAGCAGUGGUGAGCUGUGCAGAAUGCCUCUUGUAAAGCCUGUGGCUAGCUGACAAGAUGAGUCUUGGGUAGGCAUGAGUGCCUGCAUGCACACAAGUACACAAGGAGCCUUAUGGUUUGUCCUGCUGUGUGGUAAGAACACAAAUAAUUUAAUCCACCGUGACAGCAGAUGUGGAUGAGAAUUUCAAGACAGCACUUGAAAUCCAGGAGCAGCAGGGAUCCAUCCAAAAAGCUCUCCAGCAUAUCUUCUGGAGUGCAGGUGAUUUGACUCCAGAGCUGCCACCCCUCCCACCACCACAUGCUGCUGCUUUGGAAACCUCAGCCUUGUCCUUCAUAUGAAAGGGAAGCUGGUCCUGGUCAUUGGAAAUACCUUUCCCCAUGUCCACCAUGACCCAAAAAAUCUUAACGUUAUAAAAUAGGAUGAUUUGCAGGCUGCAUGGAAAGCAAAGUAAUGGGAUUCCUUGGGGUAAAUAAGCCAGGGUUUAUCCUACACACUCAUGCUCAGUAGACACGCCAGUCUGCAGAGCACACAAUUUAGAAGUGCCAUGACUCAAAGACUCCUUCUUGUUAGAAAAGAAGCAAAACCCACAUGUUUAGGGGCUUUCAGGAAAAAGAAAUCUACCAACUUGAUAUUGACUGUCAUUUAACCUACAGGCAAAGCUGUCAAGACCUUGUAAUUACAACUACCUGAAUUAUACUGCAGGUAUUGAUCCUCCAUGGUGUGGAACAAGGGUUAUAUUUUGACCCCACGAUUUCUUUCCACAGAACAGCUGGGGUUUGACAACAACAGAGAAUCAAUAUCUGGGUAAAACAUUAAGGAGCUUUUUUCCCUUCCAGUGAUAAUUCAAUUCAGCAGCUAUAAAGAAGAAGUUAAUUCUUUGCCUGAUAGUGUUUGUGCUUUCAGAGACUUUCUGCCCGACUGUUUCAGAAAAUAUCUCUGUCUAAAAUGGCCAGAGCACUUUAUUCAAAAUCACCAAUUCCCUGCCAUCCGUCUUAGGUGGGCCUCAUUGUUAUGAGCCUCUUUAGGAUAUUUCAACUGAAAAAUCAUAUUUCUAUUCCAGUUGCCAUGGAACAGACAGCCUCUCCUGGUGGAAAGAAGAGCUGGCACUACAUUGUGGAAAAGAAACCUCCCAUAAAUGUAUUUUUUAUGACUCAUAAGGAAAGCUUGAUUCUGACACGUUUACAGAAAUCAACUGGCUGAUUUUUAUGGAAGUGCUCUGCUUGAUGAAGGAGGGGAGAACUGCUACAAAAUAAAUAGUAAAUAAUAAUUAAAUAUAAAAGAAAAGUUCUAAGAAUUUAGGCUCACAUCCUGCAAUCUGCUUUGGGCAUACUUCAGUUUGGCUCCACACAGAACAGCUUGGAUGACUGUCGUCUUAAAUUGGCCGUAAUUGCUUUGCUAUCUGUGCAGGGGAAUUUGGCCAUGUAUGAUCCCCCGUUCCCUUGCCAAAUUCCAAGAUUAUUUCCUUGAAACAUCUAGCAAGAUGGAAGGUGAGGGUAUUUGGAUGGGCAUACAGACCACCUAUUUCUCAUUGUAGAGCCAACACGUGGUGCCAGGGACUCUGCUCUUGUUUGGCCUGUAAAGGGGCACCGUGGUCAUUUUGGCAGGUACACACAGCACAUUAGACAGCACUGAAUCCAUUAGUGGGAUUUCACAGUCUGAUCAUAAAGAGUGCAAGGAGAUAAAAUAAUCAAAUUCCUCUGAAUAUAAGGCUAUGAAAGAAUGGAAAGAGCCAUAGAAAAGUCUCAUUUUUAAAGUUCAAACCAUAGAUUCAUACUCUUCUGAGAUUUGAUUUAAAAUUGCUACUGCUUCAAGUACAGAAAAUUUAAAACAUGUAAACAAACACCCCCCCAAUAUCAACCAGUACAAUGCAUAAGUAGCAGUUCCAGAUCUGGAAGUGGUACCUUAUGACUUAUUAUAAAGCUCUGUUCACUCUGAAUACUAAUGCUGACAAAUUAAAUAUCUUCAUUCUACCACGUUCAUGGUCUCAUCAGCACGAAGAAGUGCAAUGUUCUUUUUACCUGGCAGUAGGCAGCAGUAAUUAUGAUUAUAUAUUAAGCAAUAUAGUGAUUUGUUAUUGUGAAAGGUUCCUCAAGCAUACUUUCCAAGCCACCUCCAGCUUUGUGUUAAGAAAGAAUAAAAGGGGAGAUUCACUCCUAAUCAGGUUUCUGAUCAGUGUCAGGAGAGACUGCCAGACAGAGCCAAAGCUCCAAAAUAUGUAGUCUAUUUACUGGAACCUUUAAAUUUCCCAGGACAAUUUCUGCAAUGCACAGAAAUAUUUGUCCAUUGCAUUUUACAUCCAAACAAGAACAAUGCACCAAGAGUGGAACAUGUGGAUUAACGGGAAAUAAAUCAAGCUCAACCAAAACCAAAGGUAGACAGACAAAAAAAGGAGACAAGGAAAAAUUUUGUGGCCUUUACCACAUAAUUCUAGCUCUGUGUCAUACAAAUUAGGUUUCAUGUCCUGUGUAGUCAUGAGGUAUUGGGAGAAAUAAAAAUAGACCUUAAUUGUUAUUCCUUGAUAAUUUCUAUUCAAAAGGUGUGACUUAAGAGAGAACUGUAUCAAGGCUGGAAAGUAUGAAGUGGGAACAUCUGGAGAU
Passer domesticus (house sparrow) is the source of this 6138-nucleotide long non-coding RNA. RefSeq lists it as uncharacterized. Lineage: Eukaryota; Metazoa; Chordata; Aves; Passeriformes; Passeridae. The record is from RefSeq and is a predicted model, not a curated record. The transcript has 3 exons.